AAGGAAGAGAUGAGAGAGAGAGCUGAGAGAGAGAGCGACAAAGAGCCUAAGGGAGGGAACGGACGCGAGGGGACAUGAAGGUUAAAGAAAUUGGUCAAACAAGUAAGGGUUGGUACAAGAGUGUCGGGCUUAUUAGUGGGAAAGCCACAAGAAUGUAGAAGCGGUAGAAUUUUCGCCCAUGGAUGAACCGGCCAAAUCUGAGGGAGGUCAGUGGAAUUUCCACAUGGGAGAAGCUGAGGAGAAAGCCGGUGUGUGAUGAGGCUUCGGGUGUAAAGCAUUGUGUAAGAGAAGACAGCUUGAAUAGAAAUGAUUUAAGUUGACGGUACCAUACCAGAAAGGGACGGCUAAAUACGUGCAGCCAGCGCGGUAAUACGUAUGUCCGAGCGUUAUCGGGAAUUAUUGGGCGUAAGCGAGCGCAGACGGUUAUUAAAGUCUGAUGUGAAAGCCGGAAGCUCAAAUCCGGAAAUGGCAUGGAAAACUGGUUAACUUGAGUGCAGUAGAGGUAAGUGGAACUCCAUGUGUAGCGGUGGAAUGCGUAGAUAUAUGGAAGAACACCAGUGGGCGAAGGCGGCUUACUGGACUGCAACUGACGUUGAGGCUCGAAAGUGUGGUAGCAAACAGGAUUAGAUACCCUGGUAGUCCACACCGUAAACGAUGAACACUAGGUGUUAGGAGGUUUCCGCCUCUUAGUGCCGAAGCUAACGCAUUAAGUGUUCCGCCUGGGGAGUACGACCGCAAGGUUGAAACUCAAAGGAAUUGACGGGGACCCGCACAAGCGGUGGAGCAUGUGGUUUAAUUCGAAGCAACGCGAAGAACCUUACCAGGUCUUGACAUCCUUUGAAGCUUUUAGAGAUAGAAGUGUUCUCUUCGGAGACAAAGUGACAGGUGGUGCAUGGUCGUCGUCAGCUCGUGUCGUGAGAUGUUGGGUUAAGUCCCGCAACGAGCGCAACCCUUAUUGUUAGUUGCCAGCAUUCAGAUGGGCACUCUAGCGAGACUGCCGGUGACAAACCGGAGGAAGGCGGGGACGACGUCAGAUCAUCAUGCCCCUUAUGACCUGGGCUACACACGUGCUACAAUGGCGUAUACAACGAGUUGCCAACCCGCGAGGGUGAGCUAAUCUCUUAAAGUACGUCUCAGUUCGGAUUGUAGUCUGCAACUCGACUACAUGAAGUCGGAAUCGCUAGUAAUCGCGGAUCAGCACGCCGCGGUGAAUACGUUCCCGGGUCUUGUACACACCGCCCGUCACACCAUGGGAGUUUGUAAUGCCCAAAAGCCGAGUGGCCUAACCUUUUAGGAAGGAGCCGUCUAAGGCAGGACAGAUGACUGGGGGUGAAAGUUCU
This 1340-nucleotide ribosomal RNA is filed under the name Leuconostoc mesenteroides. RNAcentral's name for it is "partial 16S ribosomal RNA". The stretch from base 203 to 1340 matches the Rfam family "Bacterial small subunit ribosomal RNA". Lineage: Bacteria; Bacillati; Bacillota; Bacilli; Lactobacillales; Lactobacillaceae. The record is from RNAcentral.